AUUGAACGCUGGCGGCAGGCUUAACACAUGCAAGUCGAGCGGGGUGAUGGUGCUUGCACUAUCACUUAGCGGCGGACGGGUGAGUAAUGCUUAGGAAUCUGCCUAUUAGUGGGGGACAACAUCUCGAAAGGGAUGCUAAUACCGCAUACGUCCUACGGGAGAAAGCAGGGGAUCACUUGUGACCUUGCGCUAAUAGAUGAGCCUAAGUCGGAUUAGCUAGUUGGUGGGGUAAAGGCCUACCAAGGCGACGAUCUGUAGCGGGUCUGAGAGGAUGAUCCGCCACACUGGGACUGGGACACGGCCCAGACUCCUACGGGAGGCAGCAGUGGGGAAUAUUGGACAAUGGGGGGAGCCCUGAUCCAGCCAUGCCGCGUGUGUGAAGAAGGCCUUAUGGUUGUAAAGCACUUUAAGCGAGGAGGAGGCUCUUUUGGUUAAUACCCAAGAUGAGUGGACGUUACUCGCAGAAUAAGCACCGGCUAACUCUGUGCCAGCAGCCGCGGUAA
Molecule: ribosomal RNA, 503 nt
Filed under: uncultured bacterium
Lineage: Bacteria
Description: partial 16S ribosomal RNA
Rfam family: Bacterial small subunit ribosomal RNA
Source: RNAcentral